GAGAGUUUCAAAGUUUUUGAUACUAGUCAGCUAUCAUGAAAAUUCUCUACAUAUAUAAUUAGGGCAGUAUCUUUUACAUCACAGUAUGGCAACACUCAUAACAUCCCUUUUAAAUUAAGUACACUAUAUUGAAGACCUGUGGCAGAGUUAUGGAAAAAUAUUGACAGAAGUCUCAGUUAUAGCUUAACCAAGGAAUCAGUGAGCCCUGACUUUACCAACAAUUUAAGAAGUGGAAAAACCUCAACAGCCUGAUUAAAGAAAAAGUUACUAAUAACUAGAGCCACUCCUAGAUUUGUCAGUCAACUAAUACCAACAACAGUAUCAUCCAGGGACAGUACUUCAAGAACAGCCUUUCUUCAAAAGGUUCUUCCUCCAAGGUAUUUUGAUUGUUGAAAAUGGAUUUCAUGUUUUUCUUCCACAAAAGAAAAGAUAAAAAACUGAAAAUAUUGGACAUCAAAUAACCCUACAGGGAGA
RNAcentral lists this long non-coding RNA (474 nucleotides) under Anser brachyrhynchus (Pink-footed goose). RNAcentral's name for it is "lncRNA (ENSABRG00000011345.1)". The record is from RNAcentral. Lineage: Eukaryota; Metazoa; Chordata; Aves; Anseriformes; Anatidae.